CCUACGGGUGGCAGCAGUGGGGAAUAUUGCGCAAUGGGCGAAAGCCUGACGCAGCGACGCCGCGUGAGGGAUGAAGGUCUUCGGAUCGUAAACCUCUGUCAGCAGGGAAGAACGGUCACUGUGCUAAGCAGCAGUGAAUUGACGGUACCGGCAAAGGAAGCACCGGCUAACUCCGUGCCAGCAGCCGCGGUAAGACGGAGGGUGCGAGCGUUACUCGGACUUACUGGGCGUAAAGCGCUCGUAGGCGGUAUGUCAAGUCCAGGGGGAAAUCCCCGCGCUCAACGUGGGAACUGCCUUUGAAACUGGCAAACUGGAGUGUGUGAGAGGCUAGUGGAAUUCCAGUUGUAGGCG
This 351-nucleotide ribosomal RNA is filed under the name uncultured bacterium. RNAcentral's name for it is "partial 16S ribosomal RNA". It matches the Rfam family "Bacterial small subunit ribosomal RNA", at positions 338 to 681 of the family's 1533-position model. The record is from RNAcentral.